UGGGGAAUAUUGGACAAUGGGCGAAAGCCUGAUCCAGCCAUGCCGCGUGUGUGAAGAAGGUCUUCGGAUUGUAAAGCACUUUAAGUUGGGAGGAAGGGCAGUAAGCGAAUACCUUGCUGUUUUGACGUUACCGACAGAAUAAGCACCGGCUAACUCUGUGCCAGCAGCCGCGGUAAUACAGAGGGUGCAAGCGUUAAUCGGAAUUACUGGGCGUAAAGCGCGCGUAGGUGGUUCGUUAAGUUGAAUGUGAAAGCCCCGGGCUCAACCUGGGAACUGCAUCCAGAACUGGCGGGCUAGAGUAGGGCAGAGGGUGGUGGAAUUUCCUGUGUAGCGGUGAAAUGCGUAGAUAUAGGAAGGAACACCAGUGGCGAAGGCGACCACCUGGGCUCAUACUGACACUGAGGUGCGAAAGCGUGGGGAGCAAACAGG
Molecule: ribosomal RNA, 429 nt
Filed under: Pseudomonadota bacterium
Lineage: Bacteria; Pseudomonadati; Pseudomonadota
Description: Proteobacteria bacterium partial 16S ribosomal RNA
Rfam family: Bacterial small subunit ribosomal RNA
Source: RNAcentral